GUGCUCGCUUUGAUAGCAUAUAUACUAAAAUUGGAAUGAUACAGAUUAACAUGGCUCCUCUGCAAAGGUAACAUGCAAAUUUGUGAAGCACUCCAUAUUUUU
Small nuclear RNA from Cercocebus atys (sooty mangabey), 102 nucleotides. The record is from Ensembl. Lineage: Eukaryota; Metazoa; Chordata; Mammalia; Primates; Cercopithecidae.